CCAAGUCAUUAUGAAUCUCGCAUUCUCGAAGACACGCACUGACGACAUCACGCACGUACGCACGCCCUGGCUGCUAGGAGACGCUAUUCCCUUUACCAGGCCCUCAUGCGCGCCAGCCAGCCAGGCCAAGGCCAGGGGAGCUCGAGACCGGCAACCUGGGCGAAGAACCGGAAGGAGGAAAAGGAACCGGAGGGAGGAAGAGUGAUGAGAAACAUCCACACUCUUAAUGUCUUGCCUCCUGUAAGUCGCCCGACACACAGCCCAACUUCCCUGGCAAACUUGCUUUUCAAACUCUCUUCUCCUUCUCAGUCAGGGGCUCAGGUUCUGUAGUGCUGCCAUGCUUUACUCCUCUGUCCCUCCCCUUAUCUAGUCUCCCGCAUUGACUUCAUAAGCCAGUUUUGAGUCCCUGCCUCUGGAGUGCCUGAUGAGACAAAACUGCUCCUCAUCCUGCAUCCCCGCUGCUACUUCCAGAACUCAGGGCUCGUGGUCUGGAGCCUGCACUGUUCCAUGAGCCUCCUGACCAACCUGGAAGCCUCUGUCUUUCCUCCCUCAGUGAGAUGCACUUACUUCUCCCUGGAGAAGCCCGAGGAAGCAGGAAUGCUGGAGAUGAGAGACCUUGUCCGCUCAGGGGCUUGUUCUUCGUCUCUUUGCAGGGCUGUUUUGGACUCAGUAUUCACCUAAGCACUCCAAAUUACCCAGCACACCCUGCCUGUGCAGCUCUGUGCUGCACCUUCACUCUAGUCACGGGUGUAGCAGUCAGCUCACCAAUUCCUCCUGCUUCCCUGGGACUCGCCGGCUUUUAGCACUGCAAGUCCCUCAGCAAACUGGGACUGUUGAUCACCCUACCUGGCAGCCAGUGAUAAGGUGAGGGCCACUCCUGGGAGGGAGGACACCUGUGGGGAAAAUUCUUGUGUUAUUUAUUUCUCCUUCGGGAUAGGGUGCCUGCAGUGCUUCAUGGGAGGGGGUGGGCUGAUGCUGCAAGCUCAGAAGUUUCAAGGGCAUCUAGGGAGACCAGAUAUUCAGAGACCUUCUCCUAGAUGUGCCUGUUCCAUGUAUCAGGGACAUAGGUUUUCCCAGCAGGACUUGUGUCAUUGGCAUGACAGACCUGCCUUGGCUGAGCGUUCAGCUGUCUUUGGAGUUCAGCCACCUUAGCAAGUCCUGGGUUUGUUCUUCAGACUUUGCUGCUUGCCCAUUGCUUGGAUCGGGGGCUACUUUGUAAACCACCAGGAAGACUCCAGUGUUUCUGCUUAAUUUUUAGAUGUUUGUUAAUUGCCCUUGGCUUCUCAUUAAUCCCCGUGGGUCAUUCAGGAAACAUACCACUGUCUGUUCCCUGAGUUUUCAUUUCCAGGCAUCUGCCCUGCCUGGAUCUCCUCGCCUUCCAGGAACUUCCCCUUCACAAGCCAGCCAUCCCAGCAAAAGUUCUAACAUCAAAGGUCUAGCAACUAGCCUGCCAUCUUGUCCCUAGAGCCACCUGCGUGCCACCUAUCCCCGAAGAUGGGAACCUCGUUGCCAGUUGGGCAGAUGCAGGACAAUCCUGUACCAAGACCCCAUCUUACCACCUGUUUUCUCGGACCACUCUGGAACCCACUGUCUCAGAUUGGGUCCUCCAGGAAGCAGACUGUGAGAGGGAGUUGGCAGGACCAAAGGUUUACUGGGGCUAACUAACCCUCAGGAAAGGGACAGGAAGGAAGCAGGGCUGGAGAGCAGGUUGAGCCCGACCUGACAGUCUUGAGCAGCCCAGCAGGGAGGUGUGGAGCAAGGGUUGCCCACUAGAGGGGCCUGCAUUGGGCAUGGGUGGUGGGGUCCACAUGGUACCUGGCACACAGCAGGCUGUGCAAUCCAUAUUAACUGCCUGGAUGAAUUAAUGCCCAGGAAAGGUGCCCUGGAGAACGGGUAUGUGCUGAGCACAAUAGGGAAGGGCCCAGCAUCUGCCUUGGCAUAGGCAGAACUGUGCUGUGCCUUGCAACAGGCCACCCGAGAGCUGCUUUCAUCUCGUGUGUGCAUUAGACAACUGCCAGGGGCAUGAAGGGGAUGUGCUUCCAGGGCAUUUGCUGGUAGGGCGUCUCGUGAUCUCUUGGUAUUGGUGUGAGCACAGCCUGGCAGGAGAGGGCGGAUCUCAGUGCAAAGUAUCAUGUCAAAAAGCAGAUCGAAGCCAGGCCCCCUCCUGGAAGAGGCUCCUUGAAGGUAGGUGCACACUCAUGUCUUUGUUACUUGUAAGGGGGCAUCUUACAGGCAAGAGGAGUUAGGUGAAUGUGAAGAGGAAGGAACUGCUCACUCUGGGCAAGGGACUGGGGGAGGCUUCGUAGAGGAGUGGGUGUUUGAGCUGGGCCUUGAAGGUCGAAAGGGUUUUGUUAGGUGGGAAAUGGGGGAAGGACAGCCUGAAGGGGUUAGGUACCUUCAAGGAGCCCAGAGAAGUUGGUGGCUGGAGCAGACCCAUUCGUAGAGCGAAGUCGUGGGAGAAGAGGCUGGGAAACUAGAUUGGGUCCAACUCCUAAAGGUCCACUGAAGGAGUGUGGGUUGCACGCUGGGUGCCGCAGGUGAGUGUCCUCACUUGGGUUUCACUGUCAGCAUUUUUAAAAGGCGAACUGGUUCUCUUCCUGAGGAGAAUUCACUGAUUCACUGAUGCGGCCAGUAAGUCAUCUGACAAACCCUUGUGUACUUCUGAUGGGAUAGGAGUGUUUGUAGACAACAGUCACACAAAUAUGCAGCCCAGUGCAGCUCAGGAGCAGCGUUCCACGGAUAAGCCAUCGGUACCUACAGUGUGCUCCUGUCCUUGCUAAUCUGAACACAUGGGUAGUAACCUUAAGCGUGUCUCAAUCUUCUGACUUGUGAUGAGGUUUCCAAUUCUUGUUCCUGACUGUAGACUGAAGUUUGGAGAGAUGUCAUUAAGUCUCUAGGUUCUGAGGAUUACUGUGGGGUGGGCAGAGGGAGAAAAGGGUGUUGGGGCUAGAUGUUCCUGUGCUUCUACCAGAAAGUUGAUUUGCUCAGUGUACCACCCUCACUUGGCAGGCCUGAGCAGAGUGGCCUGCCACUCACAACCCAGAGAAAGAAGGUACAGUGCAGGCUUGCCCUGGCGGGCUCUUGGAUGCCCUAAGCUGCAGCAUCCACGCCAGGUGGGAUUUGGUAGGGUAGGCCCCCCAUCCACUGUGUCUGAUCAUACUGCCUUUGAAAGAGGAGGGUGAGUGAUUAAGACAAGACGACGAGAUAGGGUGGCCUCCGCAUGUUGGCAGCACCCAACUGGAACAUUUGCAAAUGAUACUUGGAGAAAGCUUUAGGAAAGAGGCCCACUUCAUUUAUGAAAUGACACUAGCUAAUGUUUGACCUUAGUCACAUGUUCCCUGAUUCCUCAUUUUGCCCUCUGCUGGCUGACUCGUGCAGCUUCAGUUUUAAUUAAAGGUGGGCUGUGAUGAGAGUCAUGAUCAGUGAGUGGCUUCCAUAGCAGAAAGUUCUGUGUAGUUCUUGGGGGAUGUGAGUUUAAGCAUGAGGUGCUAAGAUGAAUAUGUCCAUACAUUGUAUUCUAUUUCCUCUAUCCUUUCCCUCCUCUAACCAUUCCUGCCUUCUUCAUCUUUCUAACUUUCCCAAGGCAUUUUACAUCAGAUUUCAGAUAUAGAACAGUGGAUGUUAAAACAAACCCAAAUUCCUAAUGCUUGUUACCAUGAAAACAUGGCAACACCAUUCACAUUUUCUUUACAAAUGGCCUGUACGGGUCAGCCCAGGCAUUGAUAUAGGAGCCCAUUGUUUGCAUCCUCUGGGUCCUUGUAGUUCAUAUGCUGGAGCAAUGUAUAGAGGCGCACAAAAGGGCUGAGAAUGUGGCCAUGGUAUGUAACAAUGAGGCCCAGAGCCUGAGCUUUGGUGUCGAGCAAACCUAGGUUUGAAUGUUAGCUCUUUGUGUUCCUGUGUGACCUUGUUGGUUACUCAUGUCUCUGUGUCUCCCUCUCUUAUAAACCAGGAGGUACAAAUGCCACAGGGCUGUUGCUGGGACAUACACUUGCACCUUGUGUUCUCUCUUUCUGGGACUCGGGUUCUCAAGAUUUGCUUCUACAUUUACAGGUUGGAGAUUAUUCCAGCAACGCUGAGGAAACUUUUGUUUGUUUGUUUCUCAGCUUUGCAAAUUUCAGAGAUUUCUAACAGUGUUCGAGGGACUGUGAUGUGCUCUUGCAAAAAUCCCAUAUGUUUUUUGAAGAAUCUCAGUUGUGCUAUCUAGAAAAUGAAUCGGUUAAUCUAGAACAUGGUUUUCAAACCUAUGUGGCCAUGGAAUGUCAUUUUGGAGGGAUGCUU
This is an RNA transcript of Rhinopithecus roxellana (golden snub-nosed monkey), 4278 nucleotides long. RefSeq lists it as uncharacterized. NCBI's taxonomy places the organism in Eukaryota, Metazoa, Chordata, Mammalia, Primates, Cercopithecidae. The record is from RefSeq and is a predicted model, not a curated record. The transcript has 5 exons.